This 2119-nucleotide unclassified non-coding RNA is filed under the name Gigantopelta aegis. RNAcentral's name for it is "sodium-coupled monocarboxylate transporter 2-like, transcript variant X1". Lineage: Eukaryota; Metazoa; Mollusca; Gastropoda; Neomphalida; Peltospiridae. The record is from RNAcentral.
UCAUUCAUUCAUUCAUUUCAGUCUAGUUUGAACUGCAUGGUUGCCUUUCUAUAGUCUGUUGCAAGAGCUUCGUAUAAGUGGCCAUGAUGACGACCGAGUUGACAAUUCACUGGGUGGACUACCUUAUUGUAUGCCUCACACUGGCCAUUUGUUUAGGGAUUGGAAUUUUCUUUGGCAUAAAAGGACGACGAAGAUCUACAAGGACAGCUUAUUUCAUGGGAGAUCGCAAGCUUGGAAUCGUUCCCGUUUGUCUGUCUUUAUUUGUAACUUUCAUGUCGGCUGUUAGUUUACUUGGAAUUCCAGCAGAAAUGUAUUUUUAUGGAUCCGGAUUUUUUAUUUUCUUAUUGUCACUAGGCAUCUGUUACGUCAUCAGUAUCUACACCCUGAUUCCGCUUAUGUACCCCCUGGAAGUAACAAGCAUGUAUGAGUAUUUGGGUCUGCGCUUCGAGUCAACUGCCGUGAGACUGCUGGGAACGUGUGUGGGCAUGCUGCAGACAAUAAGCUACAUGGCCAUUUGUUUACUUUCUCCUGCACUAGCUCUGCAAUCAGCUGCGGGUAUUGAGUUAUGGCUGUCUGUGGUGGUAAUUGGUAUUGUGGGUACAGUCUACACGAGUCUGGGUGGUAUUAAAAGUGUUGUGUGGACGGACACGUUUCAAGCAGUACUCAUGUUUACUGGCAUCAUUACCAUUUUGGUAAAGGCUUUAAUGGAGGUAGGCGGAGUGAUGAAGAUGUUUGAAAUUGCAAACUCACAAGGUCGGAUAAUCUUCGAUGAUGUUAGAGUAGACCCACGAAUACGUCAAACUGUGUGGUCACUGACUAUCGGCGCAUUCUUCAGCUGGCUCCUCAUAAGUUUCAACCAAUCAACAGUUCAACGUUUGUCUUCACUCAGGACCAUGAGAGCAGCCAAAAUAGCCUUUCUUCUGAACGGACCACUCAUCAUUGUGUACGGAAGUAUCCUCUGUUUCACCGGAAUCCUCGUUUACUCGUACUUUUACUCAAAAGCUUGUGACCCGUAUAAAGCUGGUCUCAUCAAAAACCGAAAUCAGGUGAUGCCUUAUUUUGUGAUGCAAGUUUUAGCUGAACUUCCAGGAAUGACAGGUCUCUACAUAUCUACGCUUUUCAGUGCGUCUCUAAGCACAUUUUCUUCUGGAAUUAAUGCUUUGGCAGCCAAUACAGCUGAAGAUUUGCUUGGCUACCCAUUUGCGAAGUUCAAAGUCAAGGAGAGUACAGCUACACACAUAACCAAAUUACUUGUAUUGUUCUACGGGAUGCUAGCAAUCGGGUUGGCUUAUUUAGCCAAGUCACUUCACGGACCUGUUACACAGAUGGCGAACUCUGUCAUGGGUGCGUGUGGUGGACCUGUGUUGGGCAUUUUUCUUCUGGGAGCCAUCUUCCCGUGGGCGAAUAAACAUGGCGCCUUAUAUGGCUGUUUGGCAGCGAUCAUAUUUAACAUGUGGAUGGCCAUUGGAGGACAGAUAUAUGGAUCACCACCUGUGCCACUUCCACCAGCACCGACCUACGGAUGCGCAGCUAAUCAUACGUCCGUUCUGAUUAAUGUUACUGGAAGUCAAGAGUACAGUGUGUCUACUAGUAAUACAGUUUCACCUAAUACUAAUUUAAGCUCACCUACAUCAGAAGAAGGACCAUUGUUCAUUUACCAAGUAUCCUACCUGUGGUAUGGGCUCAGCGGUGUCGUCAUUUCCAUGACGAUUGGAAGUAUUUUAAGUCUGGUCACAGGAAAGUAUGACGUGACACUACUGGAUCCUCGGUCACUGUUUCCGUUUGCUAGGAGGUGUAACAGUUCUAUAGACUACCAUGACUGUGGAAUUUCACUGUCACGAAAUGAAAUGAUUCUAUAGACGUCUGUAAUUGCCGAGUCGUACUGUCACGAAUUGUAACGGUUCUAUAGACUUCCAUGCACAUAUAUGGAUUUAAGUAAUAGUUUAUCAACUGUGCUCGUUUCUUUACAGGAAAGUAUGACGUGACACUACUGGAUCCUCGGUUACUGUUUCCGUUUGCUAGGAGGAUUUGGAAAAUAAAGUUACGCGAGACUUCUGAUGGAGAGAACACAUUAAAGUUAGAACAGUCGUCAUUAAUGAAUGUCCGUGAGUCAUGGAAA